Long non-coding RNA from Ictalurus punctatus (channel catfish), 2097 nucleotides. The record is from Ensembl. NCBI's taxonomy places the organism in Eukaryota, Metazoa, Chordata, Actinopteri, Siluriformes, Ictaluridae.
UGAUUGUGCUGCUGCCACAUUAUUAGCCUAUUGGGUAAUUGCAUAAAUGACCAGAACUGCAGUAUGUGUUUAGCAUGUGAAACUCACCCACUUGCCGACUCCAGAACAUUCUCUCAAAGGAUGCAGACAUUUGUUCAGAAACUGUUAUCAGAUACAAGCAGUCAAUCAGGAGACUGUGGUUAGCACACUAAACAUACACCACAGCCAUGAUUUUUAUAGGAGAACCAAUCCAAGCUCUUACAUAUUACUUCGGCUGCAUUUGAACAUUUCACUGAUGGGAUGAAAACCAACACCUCCAUGUCCAAAAAGAGUGAGAUGCUCCCUUCAGGUGAAAAGACAUCUUGGAAUCUUUGGAAUAUUGACAAUUGAUGAAAAAGAGCACGUGAGAUUGACUAACGGAUCAGGUCAGCAGCAGUGUUACUGUUUCGGCGAUUUGUUCGAUGCAGGGGAAACGGCUGAACCAGGGAUGGAUUAACGCACUCUCUCGCAUGCCGUAGAUAAAAAGACCUUUAUUUUUCCUGACAAAAACAAAUAAUGAAUGAACACUUGUUGAAAUGAAACCUUACUAUUGAAUUUAGUGUAAAAUGACUUAUUGUGAAUUGGCGUGCAGGAGCGUGGUCAAAAAAGGUGUGCUUCCCAGCUCUCCAUUUCCAUCCGCACCUGAUGGAAGAUUAACCCGCGUUAAAUGCACCUCCCAUACCACACGUGACCCUUGAACCAGGAGGAAACGCACCACCAAACCUCACAAACACAACACAAUCCCAAACAAACAGAUCAAAAACAGCCCCAAAUUCCAACUCCACAAAACAAUGGCAUAAUGGCUAUAACAGUUACAGUCGCUGUGCCGGUGUGUGGUGAUGAAGCAGGACCGCAGGAAUUUUCAUUCGAAGCUGUUUACUCGUCAAUCUAUGUGCCUGGUGAGAUAUGGUGGAGCUCUGCAAUUUGGGAGGACCUCAGCUUAGAGCCAAAUUAAGAGGAGCCAGUUGAGGUGGUUUGGGUGGUUGGUGCACAUUACCCUGUUCAGCUGCAUCAGGCGUGUUGCCUCGGGGCAGACCCAGGGCCUGCUGGAGAAUCAUGUGGCAAGGUUGGACUGGGGGAAUCCACUCUGAGAAGCUGGAAUCUGUGGCCAGGGACAGAGAAGUCUGGACUGACCUUCUCAGCCUGUUGUUACCAUGACUGGGUUUGUGUCUACACAUAAACCUGACCUUAACAUCAAAUAAAAAGAAACGGCUGUGACUACAAGAAAAUCUGAAAAGUAACUAUUGACAGGAAUGUUACCGAGUGUAAUCUGCAGCAGAAUAUACUAUAUCGAAUGAUGAAUAGUCUUUACUAUUUCUUGUGUAUGUAUAAUCUAGAGGUGUCUAGAAACAUAUAAGGAAGUUCAUUAUGAUAAAUACUUUGAACUGUUAUAAUUUGAAGACAUUUGAAUUUACAGGCAUCUCUAAAGAAUUCCAAAACAGGAGUGGGUGGCUGACUUUGAAAUUGUAAAACAAGUGUUCUACUUGCAUUAAUAUUAAGGUCAGGGAGCCAUACAUUUACUCCGUUUAUAGACUAAUGCAUCUAAUAAAGCAGUUAUUCACACACUGACAUCUUUGUGAGUGAUCGCUAAUAUGUCAUUUGUUUUGUAUUUGAUACAUAUGUAUAUUUUUUUUUACUUGCACUAAUAAAGUUAAAGGAUGUAAUCCAAUAAAGGCCAGCUCUGUUUUGCUCUGCUCUGACCUUUAGAAGGAAUCAAUAAUUAAUGAAUCAAUCGCAUCCUUAUACCACAAUACUACUGCUCGAUUCAAUCUGAUUGGUCUGAAUGUGUUGAUGAAUUUUCUGAAACAACUAACUUACAGGGACUUGUAUGGCAAAAACGUCCACCUAAUCCAAGUCAUUAUUUAGACUUUUUUAGCACACUGUAGGACAUGCUAUUAUUGUCCCCAACUGUUAAGAAAAAAUCCUUCCUGCUGAUAAACAUACAGUGGAUUCCAAAAGUAUUCAGACCCCUUUUAUUUAUGGCACGCUUUAUCCUGUUUUUUAUCCUGUCUUUAUCCUGGAUUUGCGAACGAAGGAGACGCUUCUAGAGACAUAUCCGAGAGGACUUUUAGCUGUAAC